GCCAGGCAAAUCAACCCACAAAAACUUCAUUAAUUACCACAAAUCGACCACAAAAACUUUCAAUCGAUUGUGAAACUGCAUUACUCUAGACAACAAAUUAAGGUGAACAACAACUAUAUAUAUGUAAUAUAUAUGUUGACCAGCAAUAGCUAGUGGGGACUAAACUCUUCGUCACAUUCUUCAGCCUCUUCGACAAUGGUUUCUAAUACAGGAGCGUGUGAAACCUUUCUGAGGAGAAUAACUGGAGCGGAUGCAAACUCAAUAUAGAAUGCCAAAAACUUGGUUUCCUUUGCCAUGUUGAGUUCCUAUGUUUUAGAGAUGAACUAAUUAGGAAAAGGCGUUGAAUAUGAUUGGAAUUUAUGUGUGUGGCUGAAACUGGAGUUCUCACUUCUCCUCUCCA
This 400-nucleotide long non-coding RNA is filed under the name Glycine max (soybean). Its description in RNAcentral is "long non-coding RNA (GMAX_LNC002898)". Lineage: Eukaryota; Viridiplantae; Streptophyta; Magnoliopsida; Fabales; Fabaceae. The record is from RNAcentral.